GACUGGGUACUAUGCGACUUAGAGCCGGCUAACUCCGCCAGGUCUGGAAGGAAGCAACGGUCGUCAGGCAUCGGGUGCGCCGUAGACUACCUAGUCUUU
This 99-nucleotide signal recognition particle RNA is filed under the name Puniceicoccales bacterium. RNAcentral's name for it is "signal recognition particle sRNA small type". It matches the Rfam family "Bacterial small signal recognition particle RNA". Rfam says of the family: The signal recognition particle (SRP) is a universally conserved ribonucleoprotein involved in the co-translational targeting of proteins to membranes. Archaeal SRP consists of a 7S RNA and homologues of the eukaryotic SRP19 and SRP54 proteins. In most bacteria, the SRP consists of a 4.5S RNA and the Ffh protein (a homologue of the eukaryotic SRP54 protein). Lineage: Bacteria; Pseudomonadati; Verrucomicrobiota; Opitutia; Puniceicoccales. The record is from RNAcentral.